UACGUAGGUGGCAAGCGUUGUCCGGAUUUAUUGGGUUUAAAGGGUGCGUAGGCGGCCUGAUAAGUCGGGGGUGAAAUUCUGCGGCUUAACCGCAGGACGGCCUUCGAGACUGUCGGGCUUGAGCACGGUAGAGGCAGGUGGAAUUCCCGGUGUAGCGGUGGAAUGCGUAGAGAUCGGGAAGAACAUCGGUGGCGAAGGCGGCCUGCUGGGCCGUUGCUGACGCUGAGGCGCGACAGCGUGGGGAGCAAACAGG
Molecule: ribosomal RNA, 253 nt
Filed under: uncultured bacterium
Lineage: Bacteria
Description: partial 16S ribosomal RNA
Rfam family: Bacterial small subunit ribosomal RNA
Source: RNAcentral